AACGAACGCUGGCGGGAUGCCUAACACAUGCAAGUCGAACGAGAGCUUCGGGAGUGGUGGCGCACGGGGGCGUCGCGCGUGGGAACCGGCCCUUAGGUUCGGAAUAAUACACUGAAGGGGGUGCUAACAUCGGUUAACGUCUUCGGAUCAAAGAUUUAUCGCCUUUGGAUGGGCGGGGGUUGUACUAGCCGGUUGGUAGGGUAAAAGCCUACGAAGGCGACGAUCCAUAGCUGGUCUGAGAGGAUGAGCAGCCACGCUGGGAAUGGGACCCGGCCCAGACUCCUACAGGAUGCACGAGUGGGUAAUAUUGGCCAAUCGCGUAGAUCCUGAACCAGCAAUGCCGCGAGAGUCAUGAAGGUCUGAGAGUAGUAAAGCUCGUUAACCCGCGAUGAUAAUGACAGUACCGGAAGAAUAAGCACCGGCUAACUCCGUG
RNAcentral lists this ribosomal RNA (433 nucleotides) under uncultured bacterium. RNAcentral describes it as "partial 16S ribosomal RNA". It matches the Rfam family "Bacterial small subunit ribosomal RNA", at positions 29 to 507 of the family's 1533-position model. The record is from RNAcentral.